GAUGAACGCUGGCGGCGUGCCUAAUACAUGCAAGUCGAGCGAAUGGAUUAAGAGCUUGCUCUUAUGAAGUCAGCGGCGAACGGGUGAGUAACACGUGAGUAACCUGCCCUUGACUCUGGGAUAACUGCGGGAAACUGUAGCUAAUACCGGAUACGACCCUCGGCGGCAUCGCCAGGGGGUGGAAAGAAUUUCGGUCAAGGAUGGACCCGCGGCCUAUCAGCUAGUUGGUGGGGUAACGGCUCACCAAGGCGACGACGGGAAGGCGGCCUGGGGGGGUGACCGGCCACGCUGGGCCUGAGAAACGGCCCAGACUCCUACGGGAGGCAGCAGUGGGGAAUAUUGCACAAUGGGCGCAAGCCUGAUGCAGCAAGGCGGCGUGAGGGAUGACGGCCUUCGGGUUGUAAACCUCUUUUAGUAGGGAAGAAGCGAAAGUGACGGUACCUGCAGAAAAAGCACCGGCUAACUACGUGCCAGCAGCCGCCGUAA
Molecule: ribosomal RNA, 486 nt
Filed under: uncultured bacterium
Lineage: Bacteria
Description: partial 16S ribosomal RNA
Rfam family: Bacterial small subunit ribosomal RNA
Source: RNAcentral